CUUUGUUUACCAAUUUCCACAGUGCUUCCUUAGAACAAAAUUCUUGAUAAAGUUCUAUACCCGUACCAUCUUCCCAUUCUAUAUUCUUUGGAGUACCUUUUACACGAUUUGGAAUAGCUGGAAUAUCAUCAAAAUCAAAAAUACCAUCCACAUCUUCAUCCAAAUGGUUAUCCAUCGACCUUUCCACAGCCACAACUUCCAUACCUGUCACAUUCUGACACACUUCAUUCACCAUAACUUCAUU
This 244-nucleotide long non-coding RNA is filed under the name Arabidopsis lyrata. RNAcentral's name for it is "long non-coding RNA (ALYR_LNC001988)". Lineage: Eukaryota; Viridiplantae; Streptophyta; Magnoliopsida; Brassicales; Brassicaceae. The record is from RNAcentral.